This 8231-nucleotide long non-coding RNA is filed under the name Chlamydomonas reinhardtii. RNAcentral's name for it is "long non-coding RNA (CREI_LNC001268)". The record is from RNAcentral. Lineage: Eukaryota; Viridiplantae; Chlorophyta; Chlorophyceae; Chlamydomonadales; Chlamydomonadaceae.
CAGAACUUGGUGCGGCCGUCAACAAGGCCGAACACAACACCCGCAACCAGCGCGCCAGCCUUGCCGACGGCAGCCGAGAAGCCGUGGCACAUGGAGCGAAGCUCGGUGGGCGCCAGCUCGGCGGGCAGCAGCCAGGUGGUGGCGUUGGGGCCGAACUGGCCCCAGAAACUGGAGAAGUAGUACAGGAACUGGAACGUGUGGAUGUACUUGGGAGUACGCAGCUGGUCGUAGUGCACGGCGCAGAUGAGGAACAGAACAAACUGCAAGGGCAAAGAGGCGCGCGGUCACACACGCUUCAAGAAUGUGUGAAUUGAAGAUGCUGGUCAGCAUGCAUCCCGAAACUGGGCCUGAGUCUGGGGAGCGCUGGGGUCCACUGCCAGCCAGGUCCAGACAUGCAAGGCCCACACGGGGACCGGGCCUGCUGAACUGCCAUGUUUGUCGGUUUAUGGCGACCUGAGCAGCAGGUGACGCGACUCACCAUCCAUGCGAAGCCCAUGACCUGCAUGCGCAUGCGGCCCAUCCACGGCUUGUCCACCGUGAAAGCGGCAAAGUAGUAGCCAACCAGAGCCACAGAGCUGUUCAGCAGAGUCCACUCCAGGACUUGGAUUAGCGAGGCGCUGGGGUUGAUGAUCUUGAUGAAGGUGCCCUGGAACAGCUUGUUACCCUGUGGGGAUCAUGAUAGCGAACGAGGUAAGGCACGUCAACUUUGUGGGCUUGCCGACCAUCCUGUAGAGCACAGCUGGUGAUCUGAUCCCAGGUGCACCGCAAGCACGCGGGCCCGAGCCCCCAUCCGCCGCACGACUCACGUAGAAGGCGAAGUCCCACACGAACCAGCUCAUGGCGGUGCCAAAGUUGCGGUGCCAGUAGUAGUACAUCAGCAGACCGAACUUGCGCCAUUGCACGCCCUUGGCCUCCGAACCUGGCCGGAAGGGAACAAACGAGGAUUGAGCGAGUGAGUUGUAGUGUCUCCACGUAUGGACUGCAUGAGCCAAAACCCACUCUCUCGAAGCGGGACAAACCUCUUAUACGGUACCCACUACCGCCUCACUUACCGCCCAUGGCCUGAAGGGCCUCACGCUUCUUGGUCCACACAGCCGACUCGCGAAGGCGGAAGGUACGGUAGAGCAGGAUGCCAAUCAGGGGGAUGAGGCCAAUGGCGUACGACAGACGCCACGUCACCUCCAGGGCGUGGUUGCUGUACGGCGCGCCGUACUGGUGGUAGCCAGCCAUGAUGGCUGUAGGUUUGGGUAAGAGCAAGCAAGAAGCAUUGUGUGAGUAGGGAGACGGUGGAGUGCUGGGGUAAAAGCAGGACUGAUCCUACAAAGCACGCGAUGGCCAGCCCGCGUGUGCUGCAGAGGGUUUCGGUGUUGGAACGACUCUGCGCUCACCAAUGAUGACGGCGGUGUUGACCAGGUUGCCCCAGCCCUGCAUGGAGAACACCAGCACGACGGUCUCGCCGCGGCGCUUCUGCAGAGCGGCGCUGCUCUCGGCGCGCUCGUUGGCGGAGGUCGAGGCGACCGGGUACUCGCCGCCCACACCGAUGCCGAAGAUGAACUGGACGGCCGUGAACUGUGAGGAGGGACAGCGCAGGGCCAGUGAUGGGUAGGAUAUGGUACCCAGGACAGCAGCUGACCACACAGCUAAAGAGAUUAUGCCAUUGAUGGUAGGGCCAUCAGCCAGGCGACAUCAGCGGUGCCAGACACUUACCAUGGCCCACAGGGCGCGCUCAGUGUUACCAGCGGAGGAAAUAAUCAGAAUCGCGCCUGCAACGCAAGAUGGUCAGGGCGAGAAGGUUUGCGGCCUUCAGGUACCUCUCCAAAAUAUAGUGCAUGCUGAUCGCGCAGAAGGGACAGGCGCAGCACUGCGCGUGCGCGGGUACGUGACUCACCAACAACCAUGGUGGCGGCGGUGGUGACACUGCCCCAUUUGCGGCCGAUGCGGUCAGCAAAGAAGCCCAGGAACUGAAAGCAUGGGCACACACCAAGAGGUGAGGGGUCAAUGCAUUGGAAAAGCGAACAGGGGACAGGGGGCAGUGGGAGACAAAACCGCCGUCCAUAAGCGCGCUAGACACGAGCUCACCAGCUGACCAAAGAUGAUGCCGCACACUUGCGUGUAGGUAAUUGAUUCAGAAAGCUUGACCGGGCAGCCAAUUCCCUUCCAGCAGUUCUUGUACUCGACCUUCCACAGCGCUGACAGGUUACCGACGGCGAACACGAAGUAGGCUUCGCAGAACUGCGAGGAGGGGGGCAGGGAGGUGGGUGGAGGCGGCCCCGACACAACUUAGUCAUUAAGUGUGUACACAAAGCAAUACUAAACACAUCAGACUGCUGAAACCUGUAAAAGCCUGGCUGGGUUCACCCGACCUGCACACAACAGCUCGUGUCUGAAUAAUCUGAUAAUCACAACUACGCACCAUGCCCAGACCAGGAAUCAUAAAGCUCGCCAGGAACAGGAAAAACCUGUGCAGACAGGAACACGAUAAGACGCUGUGUGCUUGGCGGCGUGAGAAAGCUCAUUUGUAACUGACCGCACGAUGGGAUUCCGGUGCUGGACCUCCUCGUUUUCAUCCUUGACAGCGCUUGCUAGCGAGUCCUCUGCGUGGUGCAGACUCUUCUCGUGUGCCUUUUCGGCGUCCAGGCCUGCCAUCGCGCGAAGAUAGACGAGACCUUUCAACGUUGAUGGUACUCUAAGCGGCAAGCAAGCUCGCGGGCAAAGCCGGGUUGUACAAAUAUAUAAACUUGUUAAGGGGAGGUCUUAUUAUAGUCGGAGGACACUACAUGCAGUCUUCACGAGAAUUGCCCAUUGGAAGAUUCCAUAGGCCGAAAACCGACGGCGGCGCCGCCGACGCGGGUCCCGGCUUGCCUCGCGUUACCAGUGAAUUGCUGAAGUUAUGUCCUUUAAGGCUUCAGGAGAAACACUCUCACACAUGGAAUGUGUCAACUCUCCAGUGUGUCACACUCAGCCGGCUUCUUUCUUGGUUCGCAGACGCGCACCCGUUCGCAAACCAGGAAACCAGCCAGGCCCGCGCUUCCCCUCCCCCAAACCCCCAAGCUGGCCACGCUCACCUACUCCAGGUCCCGGACCUUGUACAGUGAGCGCCCAUCCGCUGUCGCCCUGUAGCAACCGGGUUGCCCUGUAGUAAAGCGGAACUCGGCAUCAGUAGGGUAGCGCUUGAAGAACUCUGGUGUCAGCACCAGCAAGCCCGUGGCCGCCGGUGCCAGGGUGAGCUCGCACAUCAAAUACGCUGCACGCUACGGGACUACGCCAACCUGCCCCUUACCCUGUCCCAUCACACCCCACGCGCCCACGCCCGCCCGCCCAUCUCCAGCCCUCCGCCGGUGCUGCUCCUGCGCCUGCGAAGCUCAUGCGUGUGCAUCUAAGUUUGCUUAAGAAUUGCGCGGCACACUCAAGAUAGCCUGUCCGUCCUUGGUUUUGGUUCUGCUACAGCAAGUGUUUUCCGUAUGGCAAGUUGUGGAAGGGCCAACUAAAGCACUUCAGCCCAAUGCCUGCGUACAGGUGCGGUGCCAAGCUCUCUGCCUUUCGUUCCUCUAUCUGGCCAAGCGCAUUUCGCCAUGCCUUAAAGCGCGCGCUUCUUGCCUGAUACAGGCCGUAGCCUUAGCUGAUUGCAGAGAGCUCUUUGUCCCUCCCCAUCAAGCCAUGUGCGCACCUGCGGUCGCGCCAGGCCGCCGCACUCCAACUCCGUCGCCCGCGCCGCCGCAACCGCCACGGUUCAUGCUCGCCGCUGCCCAAAUGGGGUCGGCCCGCUGGCUGCUGCGCCCGCCGCCUCCGCCCAGGCUUAGCGCCGUGAACAGCGUGCCCCAAUCGGGCUGCUGCGCCUGCUGCUGUGCCUGUGGCAGCUGCUGCCCAGGCACCGCCGGCUGCUGCUCGGCCGCUGCUGCCCCGGUACCAGAACUACCAUCCUGCAACGAGUGAGCAGGUGUUCAAAUCAGUGACCAGGCUUGACCACCCAGGUGCUCAAACAAUGCGGUCCCGCGGCACCAGGCUUCACACCCGGUCAAACCGCUCGCCCCACCUGGCACGCCGCCGCCCCGUUAGCAGCAGUGGUGCUGCCGCCGGAGCUCCUCCGGUGGCCCUGUUGCAGCGGCUGCUGUGGCAGCUGCCCUGCCUGGCCGCCCUCCUCGUCCACGUCCACGACGCCGUCGGGAUCGGAUUACCCCGUAGAUGCUCACUUGACGUGGCCCCAAAGAGGCGACCUGGAGCGCCGGACAACAGCGACUUGAAUUUACCAAACGGAGAUACGUCAGGGAGAGAGACCAGAUCCAAGCCGUCGCGACGCGCAUCCGCUCUCCGUAUACCAUGUGGGAUUGUGAUGGCCUGGCUACUUUAGCCUCUAGGCGCGUGCCACACGGGCGCGCCCCUGCGCGCUACGCCCCUCGGGUCCUUCCGUGUGCCAGGUCCUUCCGUGCAUGUUAAGCCCUCCCGUGACAUGUCAUUGCCUCACCUUACAACACCAUUGGUACUGUGUCCAUGCCAUCGUCGCCGUGGACGGCCGUGCUGGCCCGCUGGUGACAAAGGAUGGCGAGGGGGGUUGCGACCCUACUCGUCAUCCAACGCCUGCUGCUCCAAGUUGUUAUUACGCGCUGCGUGGGCGCCAUUAGAUUUAAGGACUGGGCCAGACCUCCUGCGCUUUGAUCCACGUCCGAGAAAGGACAGCCUCAGCCUCAGCCCCUCGUCAGGCGCUAGGUAUAUGGAUACGAGUAGUUAGGCCAGCGCUUAACCUAUGCGUGAUAUGUAUACAAGGGUCAAACAAAAUUGCGGGCUUGGGUGCAGCUUUCCUGGCAGCUUUCAAUUGAUCUCGGCAAAUGUAUAAGUUGAGGCAAAUAAAGGUGUGCAAUAUUGCACGCGGACAUGUGCAAUCGCUCGCGAUUGAUGGCACGACUUCGCCAGCCAGCAGGUUCCCGGGUUUACCCUCGCCAAACGUUUGGCCAGCGCCACCACCAGCCACCAGCACCACCACUCAGCAUAUGGGAGACAAUACCCACCAUUCAUGCACAACGUGCGCGGCUGAGGUGCACAGCGCAUGGCUGCCGGGUGGCUGCCGCGCCUGCCAUCAGGGUCGUCGCGUCUGUGCCCUUGGAUGCGUUGCCAUCUGUACCCCUGUUUCUUUUGUCCACGCUUACCUGGGCGACAGCACGAGCGUGAGCAGUGCUCUGCAGCGGCACCAACUGCGGCACCACCGGCACCGUGCGUGCACAGCUAGAGGCGUCUGGAACACCCGGGAGCGGUGGGCAGUGGCGGUGCGCAUCUCUCCUGCACACCACGCCAGCCACCUGUUGCUUGUGCGGGGCAUGACGCCGAUAUGGCUGACAGCCCCCGCCUGCUCUCUUCUCUAAGGACACUGCCUGCGACGCCUGCGUGGGUGUGUGCUCGUACCGUAUUGUUGCUCCCUGUCCACACAUGGGCCUCGCAGCAAUCGGACAUGUGCUUAGGUGAAGUGGGAGCUGAUGGUGCGGCGCAGAAUAGCGUAGGGUAUCCGGCCCGCUGCCAUUUUCAUGGCGGCUUGUAAAGUCAGUGAUGGUCGGUUACACCUCUGACAGCCUCCGUCUAUGCCACGGCUCCACUGCUACGAGCCCAUAGCCUCACCGGCGGCGCACCAUGGGCUCUCCCAUGUACUGCUCCUCUCAUCCAAACUCAUCCUGCACAGUCCUGACCUAUAACGUUGAUUCAACGCCAUUAAGACGCUCGCUCGCUCAUCAUACCGUAGCCGCUCUCCUGCCUCUCCACCUCAGCAGGCCUGUGCACUGCGCGCGACCCGAAGCUCGCCACCUCUCCGCACUAGGCACGCCUGUCCACCACCACUACCGUACUCCUGCUGGGCGCGCUCAAGGACAUGCCGCGUUCAGCUGUGUGCAUACCAGCCGCGGCGAGUCAAUCAGCUAUGAUAUCGCGUGCACGCAUGGUGCACAAGCCACAAACGCACACGCUCUGGUAGGCAGAUCCGGUUCGACAGAACUGGUAACAAGGCCUGUGGACACGCCCAGAGGCACCUCCAGGUGCGGCUUAAUGAGCCACUAGGCCACUCGCUGAAUCCAUCAGGACUCUCGAUACGGUAGUCUACAAGGACAGAGCAUAUUGAGCACUUGAGCAGGUGCCGGACGCUCUCCCGCAAGACAACAAUGUGAUGGGGUUUCAGGGCAUGCCAAACCCGCCAGACACACAUGCACGACAUGCUGGACUGAUUGGGGCCCUACCACACUAGCCCAGGCAUAUGCGCGCGUAAUUGUGUCUUUUGGCCCCAGAAAGUAUCCCUACAACAUCCUAGGCAGCCUACGCCAUGAGUGGCUCACGGAGAAACUUGACAUCAAACGGUGCAAGGGCAAGAGCCCACGCACGGGUAUGCACGUUGGGUUUGCCUACACGCUGACCUACACGCCACCGAUGAAUGAACACCCUGCACUGCAACAGCUGCAAUCUCUACGGCUUCGCCGAGUUCAAUGCAACCUCCCACCGGAUACCACAAGAUCCAUUAGAGAUCCUGGGGUGACAUGGGGCUCGCUGGCAUUUUAUGCCGCGCUUUUGCCUCGCUGCUCCAAUCCAUAAUCACAUAGCUGUAGCCCCGAAACAAGCCGGCCGCACUACCAGUGCCGGUCCAUACGGGUCAGUUUGCCUAACAAGCUAUCACCAAUUCUACCAGCACCUACCAAGGAAAGGAGGCCCCAGAACAGGGUCGCCGUGCGUGUCACAUGCACGCGAUAGCCGCCAGGCGAAACUUUCCCCCAAGGUUCCAUCAAAUGCGGUCGUGCCAUGACCCUACCUAUGGUUGACCCAACAACAACACAUCCAAGUCAUUGCAAACAUAGCACAUCUAACUCAGUUUCGGCACGCCAAGGCAGCGUAACGAGCAGCCUAGCUGAAAAAGCUCAUGCGCCACGGCGCUCACAGUAGGCUUGCCCGCACGCCCACUCAACCACGCCCAAGCGCUCGACAAGGUGGCGCCGGCAGCAGCUCGCACGUCUCUACUUGGCAAUGGCGAUGGUUGCCGUGGGCUGCUGCUUGUGCGGCGGCACCAUCUCAGCGCCCUUCAUCGCCAUAGCUGCAGAGGCGCUGGUGGUGGUGGCGCUGUAGGCUCCAUCGUUCGAGGUGUCGGCCUGUUGGGGGCAAAACGGCGGGCGGGGCGUGGGGCGCGUGUUACCGUACUGGUCGGCCUCACAUUUAUGUUAGGCAUGUGAAGGGCUAUUUGCUGGGACAAGAUGGGGAGACGGCAUGCAUGCUCAUUCGGAAGCGUAAAGCAGCUAUGAUGCCGCUUCAAUUGCUUUCCAAUCUGUGGCUGAGACGGCUCGUGGCAUACCGAACGCUGGCUCACCUGAUAGUUCUUGCCGUAGCCCAGCAGGCGCUCAAUGAGAGACAGGUUGCGCGGCUUGAUGGCGUCACCGUGGUACAGGUGGUGGUGUCCGUCGAGGAUGGCCAGCCAGCGCUUGUCACCCUCGCGCAGGUCCAGGCCUGUGGGAAAGAAAGGAGGAGGAUGCGGUUGUGGGUAACGCACCGAGUGCCUGGCGCGAAGGAACAAUCAAGGGCAACAGACAUGCAAGCGCGAGACAUGCGCGGCCGACCUUGGAAACAACAACUCACCGGUCACAUCGGGGAUGGUGAUCAGGGUCAGGAUCACACCGGCCAGACCGCAGAAAGCGCUGAUCCAGAACUUGGUGCGGCCGUCCACAAGGCCGAACACAACACCCGCAACCAGCGCGCCGGCCUUGCCGACGGCAGCCGAGAAGCCGUGGCACAUGGAGCGGACCUCGGUUGGCGCCAGCUCGGCGGGCAGCAGCCAGGUGGUGGCGUUGGGGCCGAACUGGCCCCAGAAACUGGAGAAGUAGUACAGGAACUGGAAGGUGUGGAUGUACUUGGGAGUGCGCAGCUGAUCGUAGUGCACGGCGCAGAUGAGGAACAGAACAAACUGCAAGGGCAACGGACGACACGCGUGAAUGAUGCGCCCCCUUCAAUGGGACUCCCGCCACGCCCGACACAACACGCAGGGCGCUGAUAGUAUGAACAACGGCAAGCAGGUACACAAACAGUGCAAGUCAUUACAGGUACCGGUCUGCGGGCUGAAUUGCUGGUCUCUGCGUUGCCCUGAUCGCGCUGUUUCCAUGCACGACUCACCAUCCAUGCGAAGCCCAUGACCUGCAUGCGCAUGCGGCCCAUCCACGGCUUGUCCACCGUGAAAGCGGCAAAGUAGUAGCCAACCAGAGCCACAGAGCUGUUCAGCAGAG